GGUGCCAGACAAUGGCUGCUAGACUCUUUAUGACUCUCCUAUUGGUGGAGCUGUUUCUGCCGGAGUCAGGCUAGUAAGUAAUUGGCUAAGCAGUGGAGAAAGCAUGGUCACUGUGCACCAUUUCUUUCUCCAGCAAGAAGGAUAAAGACCUGAAGCUGGGAUCUGCAAUCAGAUGAGGAUGAAGAACUGCUGAGGCAGGUUCUCAGUGGAGCUACCACAGGCAAACUAACUUCCUGCUAAGCAAAACCACUGCCUAUUACUCUGAUAAUGAGAAAACUGCAACCCACAGACCAAAGUACAAGGCUCAACCACAGAGUUUGAAGCAGGGCCAAAUGUUCUCCCAGGCAUCAAGGACAGCUGUAUCUAGAACUGGUUUCAUUUCCUGCUAGGUUAUGCAGUGUCUCUGGGAGGCCAAGGAGAAGGGAAGCUACUAACACUGUAAAUAAAACCAAGCCCUCAGUUCUGUACCGGCAGAUCCUGAAAACGUCUAAGAUAUCUCUUCAAUGGCUGGUUUAAUAGAAGACUGCUAGAUUCUCAUGUCUGUUUCUGCAUUCAAUCUGUUGGUGAAAUGUGUUGAACUAUAUAAAGAAAACCGGCCUCACACAAAUUUUAUAUAUGU
Molecule: long non-coding RNA, 619 nt
Organism: Canis lupus familiaris (dog)
Lineage: Eukaryota; Metazoa; Chordata; Mammalia; Carnivora; Canidae
Exons: 4
Source: RefSeq, a predicted model, not a curated record